This 249-nucleotide ribosomal RNA is filed under the name Actinomadura craniellae. RNAcentral describes it as "Actinomadura sp. LHW63021 partial 23S ribosomal RNA". It matches the Rfam family "Bacterial large subunit ribosomal RNA", at positions 2692 to 2925 of the family's 2925-position model. The record is from RNAcentral. Lineage: Bacteria; Bacillati; Actinomycetota; Actinomycetes; Streptosporangiales; Thermomonosporaceae.
CCGGGACGGACGAACCUCUGGUGUGCCAGUUGUCCCGCCCGGGGCACGGCUGGUUGGCUACGUUCGGACGGGAUAACCGCUGAAAGCAUCUAAGCGGGAAGCCUUCCUUAAGAUGAGGUCUCCCCCCCGAUCUUCGGGUCGGGUUAAGGCCCCCAGCAGACCACUGGGUGGAUAGGCCGGACAUGCACGCACAGCAAUGUGCUCAGUGGACCGGUACUAAUCGGCCGAGCGACUUGAACACCACACCUC